Non-coding RNA from Callithrix jacchus (white-tufted-ear marmoset), 395 nucleotides. The record is from RefSeq and is a predicted model, not a curated record. NCBI's taxonomy places the organism in Eukaryota, Metazoa, Chordata, Mammalia, Primates, Cebidae.
AAGUGAAACACCAAGCAGGACAGAAGUGAAUUCAUUGGCCUGACACUCAAAUUGUUGGUGAAAAGGAAUGUUUCCCUGGAAUUAAGCUGCCACUGGGCAAAGGUCAAGGCACAGGGCAGCUGGAUGUUUGUGUGGAUCCUGCAAAUGGAGAGGCUCCGUCUGCUGUGGAAACAAAAUGGAACUUAACCUCAGCUGAAACAGUGGUGGAGAGCAGAGGGAUUUUCUAAAUCAUUAAGUUUUUUAUUUUACUUACGUGAAGCCAUACACACAGCCUGAGGCACUGACAUUUUCAUCAGUCUUUGAUGACCUAGUGGUUGAGCUUUUUUGAGGACUGUAGUCAUGAGCUCCAGCUGCUCAUCUUUGCCUGACUCUCCAGUCAAGGGCCUGCUGUGCUA